This 230-nucleotide ribosomal RNA is filed under the name uncultured prokaryote. Its description in RNAcentral is "partial 16S ribosomal RNA". It matches the Rfam family "Bacterial small subunit ribosomal RNA", at positions 524 to 753 of the family's 1533-position model. The record is from RNAcentral.
UACAGAGGUCCCAAGCGUUGUUCGGAUUCACUGGGCGUAAAGGGUGCGUAGGCGGUCGGGUAAGUCUGAUGUGAAAUCUCCAAGCUUAACUUGGAAAUGGCAUCGGAUACUAUUCGGCUCGAGGAAUGGAGGGGAGACUGGAAUACUUGGUGUAGCAGUGAAAUGCGUAGAUAUCGAGAGGAACACCAGUGGCGAAGGCGAGUCUCUGGACGAUUCCUGACGCUGAGGCA